AUAUCAUAUAUGAGAUAUUUAUAGUUUAAUGUGAAAGAUGUGUUAGAAGUCUUACAUCAACUAAAAAUAAAAUCAAUUUAUAAUAUAUAAACGAAGUAUAAACCUCGUCUUACAAAUCGAUUUUGUGAAAUUAAAUUAAACUUUAAAACUCACUUUAUAAGAUAAGUUGUUACAUUUCGUUUAGUUUGCAUUAUAAAGAAAAAUGAGAGGAAGGAAAGGAAAAACAGUUUGUAAAGCUUGCAAUGAUGCAUAAUGAUGAGGGUUGAAUGAGAGAGAGAGAGGGAAGUUAUUGAGAGUUGUUAAAAGGUGUGGUGUGUGUGGAUAAUGAAUACAUAGGUCUGACACUUGGCCCUUCCCUCCAUUAUCUUUUUCUUUUAUUUCUUCCAAUUACUCAACUCAACGUUGCAACACUCAAAUAUGCAGCAAUUACGUGUAGGGAUCUUCUGUUUUCGCCACCACAAACAAGAUGCGACGUUUCCUGGUUCCACCCAACUCAUCAUCAUCAUCAUCAUAAUAAUCUCUCCUUCUUCUUCCUUCAACCACCCAACAAUUCUUUUCUUCAUCUUCUUCUAGCUUUAUCAAUGUCAAAUGCCCAUCUAAAUGCAUAUGUAAGGGACGACUCAGCUCAUCCGCCUUUAUCAAAUUUUAGAUCUUAAUUAAUCCAUGUUAAUUAAUUG
This 677-nucleotide long non-coding RNA is filed under the name Vigna radiata. Its description in RNAcentral is "long non-coding RNA (VRAD_LNC002397)". The record is from RNAcentral. Lineage: Eukaryota; Viridiplantae; Streptophyta; Magnoliopsida; Fabales; Fabaceae.